RNAcentral lists this ribosomal RNA (173 nucleotides) under Cobitis taenia (spined loach). Its description in RNAcentral is "partial small subunit ribosomal RNA". Lineage: Eukaryota; Metazoa; Chordata; Actinopteri; Cypriniformes; Cobitidae. The record is from RNAcentral.
CACCGCGGUUAUACGAGAGGCCCUAGUUGAUGAACACGGCGUAAAGGGUGGUUAAGGUUUAGAAAAAAUAAAGCCAAAAGACCUCUUGGCUGUCAUACGCCCCUGAGUAUCCAAAGCCCACAUACGAAGGUAGCUUUAAUAUUAGUCCACCUGACUCCACGAAAGCUGAGAAA